Molecule: transfer RNA, 89 nt
Filed under: Salinibacter ruber DSM 13855
Lineage: Bacteria; Pseudomonadati; Rhodothermota; Rhodothermia; Rhodothermales; Salinibacteraceae
Also listed under: 1 other name
Description: tRNA-Leu
Rfam family: tRNA
About the family: Transfer RNA (tRNA) molecules are approximately 80 nucleotides in length. Their secondary structure includes four short double-helical elements and three loops (D, anti-codon, and T loops). Further hydrogen bonds mediate the characteristic L-shaped molecular structure. tRNAs have two regions of fundamental functional importance: the anti-codon, which is responsible for specific mRNA codon recognition, and the 3' end, to which the tRNAs corresponding amino acid is attached (by aminoacyl-tRNA synthetases). tRNAs cope with the degeneracy of the genetic code in two manners: having more than one tRNA (with a specific anti-codon) for a particular amino acid; and 'wobble' base-pairing, i.e. permitting non-standard base-pairing at the 3rd anti-codon position.
Source: RNAcentral
GCCCGAGUGGCGGAAUCGGCAGACGCGACGGAUUCAAAAUCCGUUGGUGCUUACGCACCGUGAGGGUUCAAGUCCCUCCUCGGGCACCC